RNAcentral lists this ribosomal RNA (827 nucleotides) under uncultured cyanobacterium. RNAcentral describes it as "bacterial SSU rRNA". It matches the Rfam family "Bacterial small subunit ribosomal RNA", at positions 56 to 931 of the family's 1533-position model. The record is from RNAcentral. Lineage: Bacteria; Bacillati; Cyanobacteriota.
UGCAGUCGACGGGCUCUUCGGAGCUAGUGGCGGACGGGUGAGUAACGCGUGAGGAUCUGCCCUUAGGACGGGGACAACAGCUGGAAACGGCUGCUAAUACCCGAUGUGCCGAGAGGUGAAACUAUUUGGCCUGAGGAUGAGCUCGCGUCUGAUUAGCUAGUUGGAGUGGUAACGGCACACCAAGGCGACGAUCAGUAGCUGGUCUGAGAGGAUGAUCAGCCACACUGGGACUGAGACACGGCCCAGACUCCUACGGGAGGCAGCAGUGGGGAAUUUUCCGCAAUGGGCGAAAGCCUGACGGAGCAAGACCGCGUGCGGGAGGAAGGUCUAUUGAUUGUAAACCGCUUUUGAUAGGGAAGAAGAUCUGACGGUACCUAUCGAAUCAGCAUCGGCUAACUCCGUGCCAGCAGCCGCGGUAAUACGGGGGAUGCAAGCGUUAUCCGGAAUUAUUGGGCGUAAAGCGUCCGUAGGUGGUUUUAAAAGUCUGUUGUCAAAGCGCGAGGCUUAACCUUGUACAGGCAGUGGAAACUAUAAGACUAGAGUGCGGUAGGGGUAGAGGGAAUUUCCAGUGUAGCGGUGAAAUGCGUAGAUAUUGGAAAGAACACCGGUGGCGAAGGCGCUCUACUGGGCCUGCACUGACACUGAGGGACGAAAGCUAGGGGAGCGAAAGGGAUUAGAUACCCCUGUAGUCCUAGCCGUAAACGAUGGAAACUAGGUGUUGCCCGUAUCGACCCGGGCAGUGCCGUAGCCAACGCGUUAAGUUUCCCGCCUGGGGAGUACGCUCGCAGAGUGAAACUCAAAGGAAUUGACGGGGGCCCGCACAAGCG